GAUGAACGCUGGCGGCGUGCCUAAUACAUGCAAGUCGAGCGAACAGACGAGGAGCUUGCUCCUCUUACGUUACCGACGGACGGGUGAGAAACAAGUGGCUUGCCUCCCUAUAAGACUUGGGUGCUUUCGGCGACGCGGAGUAAUUACCGUAUACUAUAUUGAACCGCAUUGCUCAAUGAUGAAUGUCGGUUUUGCUGUCUCUUUUACAUCGAUCCGCGCCGCAUUAGAUAGAUGGUAAGGUAACGGCUUACCAAGGUAACGAUGCGUAGCCGACCUGAGAGGGUGAUCGGCCACACUGGAACUGAGACACGGUCCAGACUCCUACGGGAGGCAGCAGUAGGGAAUCUUCCGCAAUGGGCGAAAGCUUGACGGAGCAACGCCGCGUGAGUGAUGAAGGUCUUCGGAUCGUAAAACUCUGUUAUUAGGGAAGAACAAAUGUGUAAGUAACUAUGCACGUCUUGACGGUACCUAAUCAGAAAGCCACGGCUAACUACGUG
RNAcentral lists this ribosomal RNA (497 nucleotides) under uncultured bacterium. Its description in RNAcentral is "partial 16S ribosomal RNA". It matches the Rfam family "Bacterial small subunit ribosomal RNA", at positions 28 to 507 of the family's 1533-position model. The record is from RNAcentral.